UGGAAAGACACCAUUCCCCAGAGCAUCUUUAAGGCUUGCCCUUGCAGGGAGAGUCAGGCCAUCAGGCCCUUUUGGAAGUUACAGGUCCCCCAGUGACAUCAGCUAUAAAUAAUCAACAUACCCAUGAGGCACAUUUUGUCUUAACUCCUUCAAAACCCAAGUCAGAUAUAGCUCUUCUGCUACCAUUUCAUUCUGAAAAACACCCAACUCCUCACCAUUGCCUACAUGCCCCCUCUUUGAUCUUGGGCCCUGUCUACUAUUCAGCAUUCAUGUGCCAUUCUGUCACUCACAGGCUGCAGUGACACUCAUCUCCUUGCCUGAUUCGAACUUUCCAAGGAAAUUCCCAUCUGGGGCCUCUGCACUUACUGCCUCAGCCCCUCUUUCCUACCCCAGGUAUUCGCUUGCCCAGCCCCAUUUUUCUUUUAGUUUCUUCUCUGUUGACAUUUUAUCAGAGACUCUAUGUCCCAGAGACCGACAGCACCCUUCUCCUGCUAUCUGUCCUUUCACCCUGCUUCACUGCAGCCGAUGCCACCCGAGACAUUGUGUAUUGAUGUCUAUGUUUGUUCAUCUCUUCCUGGCUAGCCUGUAAGCCCUGUGUGGGCAGGAAUAUUGGUGGUUUUGUUUUCUGUUUUGUGUACAACACUUAGAAUAAGCACUCACCAAAUGCUUGGUGGCAGAAUGAAAUGGCCAAAUUAAUAUUUUCAAACCAAGUUGGACAUGGUGGUGCACACCUGUAAUCCCAGCACUGGGAGGCUGAGGCAGGAGGAUCACAAGUAUGAGGCCAGCCUCAGCAACUUAGUGAGGCCCUAAGCAACAUAGUAAGGCCCUGUCUCAAAAAAUAAAAAGGGCUGGGGAAGUGGCUUAGUGGCAGAGCACCGAGGAUUCAAUCGCAGUACCAAA
Molecule: long non-coding RNA, 900 nt
Filed under: Marmota monax (woodchuck)
Lineage: Eukaryota; Metazoa; Chordata; Mammalia; Rodentia; Sciuridae
Source: RNAcentral